Long non-coding RNA from Perca flavescens (yellow perch), 1729 nucleotides. RefSeq lists it as uncharacterized. The transcript has 3 exons. NCBI's taxonomy places the organism in Eukaryota, Metazoa, Chordata, Actinopteri, Perciformes, Percidae. The record is from RefSeq and is a predicted model, not a curated record.
CUCCUGAAAAGGCAUCAAGACCCCAAACGGGCCACCCUCAAAAAAAAAAAGACAAGAACUGCAACACCAGAGAAGAAGAUGAACAACGUUUAAAAGGAGAUGGGGGCAGAACGCAGCAAAAGGCUACCAACCACACCACCACUGAAGGGAAGCUGGCAAAAAAAUGAGACUGAAAAACAGAGAAGAAGGAGGAGGAGGGGUUGCUGUUGAUUCUGCCCUGCCUCUCUCCUCGCCCUCCUCUGCAUCGCCUCUUCCCUCCUCCUCCUAAUCCUCCUCCCUUCCUCCUCCGCUCCAUCCUCAGCCGACUGCCCCCUUUUUCCUGUACAGCGAGACGCAGCCCCGCGCCACCAUCUUAGAGCAACGCUGGCAUGAAAUGGAAGUGGGGAAGACCAGUCGGUGCAGGCGAAUGAUUUGUCGGUGUGCCGAAGGGGGAUCCGAAACGGGCCGAGAGCAGACGAAGAGGAGGGACAGCAGGUUCUCCUCCGCUUGCCGUCUUUCCGUCAGGACUACAACGGCGAUGGCGACGGCGCAGACGUCUGCACGCGCUUCCUGCCGUGACUUUGGGACAUCGCCGCGCCGUUCGUAACCUCGUUGAUUGCGGCUGAGCGAUGCGUUAUUUGACCCAAGCGGAACUGAGCGAAAAGAAAAAAAAAAAAAGGUCCACGGCGGACCGUGCACGGCUGUGGGAAACGAAAGGCUCAGACAGACGAUCAGCAGCUUUUCUGGCGUGGACAAACUGGUCCCGUAAAUGUUGUGACUCUCGAGGGUGUGGCGCUUGAUUGUGUAAUUCUCAUCCUUAUAUGUUCUAUCCUACAUGUGAAGAAUAUCACUUAAGACAUGAAGCGAUGUAGUGUGUCUUCAACUGACUAUAGGCUCGACUUGUAGGUUCAUUUGAAUGAGUUGUAGCCCCCGUUUUGUUUGAUUCCUGUUUUUGUUAUUUAGUUGCUAGGACUCGGAGACACGUGAAUGUGAGACCCACGGCAGCAGUGAAUAAAUACUGCACUGCGAUUGGACGGCUCCGUGUGUCGGCUGACACAAUGGCAAAGGAAUGAGCUGUCGUCUUUAUACUCUAUGCAACUGUUUUAUGUAUUUUUUUUUGUGUUUAUGGUUCUUUUAUUUUAUUUUUGGUCUUGGAUCUCCUUUCAUCCUCUGGAUUUUUAUUUUUGGGCUACCAGUUUUUACAGAUAUUCCUUCAUACAUCAAGAAAAGAAAUGUUUUUUUUUUAAAAAAGGAGCCUACUUUCCCCCGGUUUGUUAAUAUACUGCUACAGAAAUGACGGUCAGUGAGUGUGUGUGUGUGUGUGUGUGUGUGUGUGAGUGUGUGUGACAAAUGACACAAUACAGCUCCGUUUCACAUGCAUUUGGAUCUCAUAUUCGCAGCCUUAACAGACUUUGAUUCGCAGCCGUGAACCACAGUCUGAGUAAACGGGCGCCAGCACGUUUUAAUAUUCCUGAUGGCAGGAGUGUGUUUGAUCAGCAGGAAGUGGCAGAGCCAGGGCUCAUGGCGGCGAGUGUACAGAGCACGCCGCACUAUUAAAACCUUCCCCGGCGCUCUCUGGAACGCAGCAGCUUGGUUCAGUUACCUGCAUCGCUGUUAAUGAUCCAUCGUUUGGGUGAGACAUGAUAAAUACAUUGGCUUCAAACACCGCCUUAAUUUCCUGUCCUUGACAUUAACACACACACACGCACACACACACACACACACACACACACACACACACACACACACA